UACGAAGGGGACUAGCGUUGUUCGGAUUUACUGGGCGUAAAGCGCACGUAGGCGGAUCGUUAAGUCGGGGGUGAAAUCCUGGAGCUCAACUCCAGAACUGCCUUCGAUACUGGCGAUCUUGAGUCCGGAAGAGGUGAGUGGAACUCCUAGUGUAGAGGUGGAAUUCGUAGAUAUUGGGAAGAACACCAGUGGCGAAGGCGGCUCACUGGUCCGGUACUGACGCUGAGGUGCGAAAGCGUGGGGAGCAAACAGG
This 253-nucleotide ribosomal RNA is filed under the name uncultured bacterium. RNAcentral describes it as "partial 16S ribosomal RNA". It matches the Rfam family "Bacterial small subunit ribosomal RNA", at positions 524 to 776 of the family's 1533-position model. The record is from RNAcentral.